Long non-coding RNA from Capsicum annuum, 1206 nucleotides. RefSeq lists it as uncharacterized. NCBI's taxonomy places the organism in Eukaryota, Viridiplantae, Streptophyta, Magnoliopsida, Solanales, Solanaceae. The transcript has 2 exons. The record is from RefSeq and is a predicted model, not a curated record.
UCCUUUUUUAUUUCAACAACCACAAAAGUAGCCCAAAUACCCAUUCCAACAAUAGCCCAUUAUGCCCACUUAACCCACCAGCAAAACCGAUUCCAGCCCAGUGGACAUGACCCGGCCCACAUCCAUAUUUCCCUUUCACUUAUCAGCAACAUUUACUAAUACACGUACAAACAGACCCUCCACAACAUACGCGUUGCAGCAACAGGUACAACACCAACAUCAACAGCUGUUGAAAACAGCGAACAACAGCAACGACGUACAACACCAAACAAUAAUGCACAACAGCUUCAACCAAACGAAUCUCUCUCUCCCCAACGUCUGAAUUUUGCAGAUCUUGAGCUUUGUUAUUUGACUUUUGUUCAAAGAUAGAUUGCUUCCUGCUCCAAAAUCUUAUCCAAAUCAGAAGUAUCACAAUCAAUUCAAAUUUGUGGGAUAUGUUUUCACUCUUUUUCUCAACUUUUUGUCAAGUCCCCAACCACUCCUCGACUAGAAAAGACUCUAUUUUGAAUUUUAAUAGAGAUUUUUCCAAUAUAAAUAGCAGUGGAUGCUUCCAUUUGGGGGCAUUGGCUUUAGAGGAUUCUUGAGGUUUUCUUGGGGGAAAAUUGAGGGUUGUGGAGGUGCGCAACUCUAACCUAGGUAACCAGGAAAAUUCGUCAGAAGUUGUUCGAAUUUCAGUAGCGAAUCGAAACUGCUGUAGACAUUGUUCUGAGUUCGUUUUGUCCCAUCUCGCUGCUCUAAAAAAGUCUCUUGGUCUCCCUUCCCUCACAUUCCGUUGAGUUGAAUCUGAUUUGCAUAGAGUCAAAACCUCAGAUCCAAGUCCCAAGGGGACUGUUUUGUGCUGGUAUAUAGCAGAUUACACCAUUAUACAGGCUUGGAAAAGGGGACAUGGAAAAGGAAGCUGAUUAUGUAGGUGGAAGGCAAAAUAUGUAUAUAUUUGACCAAUAUACGGUCUUAUAUACGCUGUAUAUACUCAAAAACGCAGCAGCAGGAGACGUAAUAUUCAGUCAGUAUACAGCUGGGUAUACAUUGCAGAAAUGGACCAAAAGUCCAAGAAGAAUAGGCCCAGAAGUUGGCCAGAUUUGAAAAGGGCCAAUCUUUAACUCUUUUUCUCUGUAGUUUCCAUUUUAACUUGUUUAUGUGUAUUUAUUUGAACACUCUAACUAAUUAAUCUAGAUAAAUCCCCUAAACCAUUACCAUUUUAUUUUA